GACGAACGCUGGCGGCGUGCUUAACACAUGCAAGUCGAACGGAAAGGCCCUGCUUUUGUGGGGUGCUCGAGUGGCGAACGGGUGAGUAACACGUGAGUAACCUGCCCUUGACUUUGGGAUAACUUCAGGAAACUGGGGCUAAUACCGGAUAGGAGCUCCUGCUGCAUGGUGGGGGUUGGAAAGUUUCGGCGGUUGGGGAUGGACUCGCGGCUUGUCAGCUUGUUGAUGGGGUAGUGGCUUACCAAGGCUUUGACGGGUAGCCGGCCUGAGAGGGUGACCGGCCACAUUGGGACUGAGAUACGGCCCAGACUCCUACGGGAGGCAGCAGUGGGGAAUAUUGCACAAUGGGCGGAAGCCUGAUGCAGCAACGCCGCGUGCGGGAUGAUGGCCUUCGGGUUGUAAACCGCUUUCGCCUGUGACGAAGCGUGAGUGACGGUAAUGGGUAAAGAAGCACCGGCUAACUACGUG
This 468-nucleotide ribosomal RNA is filed under the name uncultured bacterium. RNAcentral describes it as "partial 16S ribosomal RNA". It matches the Rfam family "Bacterial small subunit ribosomal RNA", at positions 28 to 507 of the family's 1533-position model. The record is from RNAcentral.